This 83-nucleotide transfer RNA is filed under the name Lachnospiraceae bacterium. Its description in RNAcentral is "tRNA-Leu". It matches the Rfam family "tRNA". From Rfam's summary of the family: Transfer RNA (tRNA) molecules are approximately 80 nucleotides in length. Their secondary structure includes four short double-helical elements and three loops (D, anti-codon, and T loops). Further hydrogen bonds mediate the characteristic L-shaped molecular structure. tRNAs have two regions of fundamental functional importance: the anti-codon, which is responsible for specific mRNA codon recognition, and the 3' end, to which the tRNAs corresponding amino acid is attached (by aminoacyl-tRNA synthetases). tRNAs cope with the degeneracy of the genetic code in two manners: having more than one tRNA (with a specific anti-codon) for a particular amino acid; and 'wobble' base-pairing, i.e. permitting non-standard base-pairing at the 3rd anti-codon position. The record is from RNAcentral. Lineage: Bacteria; Bacillati; Bacillota; Clostridia; Lachnospirales; Lachnospiraceae. RNAcentral also lists the same sequence under 2 other names.
GCGGAUGUGGCGGAAUGGCAGACGCAUCAGACUCAAAAUCUGACGGGGGCGACCUCGUGUGGGUUCAAGUCCCACCAUCCGCA